UCAGAGCGUUGAUUAGAGUACUACUCACCAGUCAUAUGGCCUAGUGGACAGUGAGGUGUAAGUCAGAUAUACUAGGACACCACUUGUGAGUUGGGAGUUGGUCUGUGUAGCAGGACAGCUGAAUAGUAAAGGAGUUUGCUGGCAUGGCAUAGCCUCUACUUGUGGCCACACUGUCAAGUUGAGGAUUUAGCUAAGACAGCAUUACCUUGCAGUUGAGUUUCUACCUGGGCAGCUAGCAUACAGUGUAUAAAGUAAAAAAGUUGGCAACAAUGUUGGUGACCUGUAUGAUAAGAAUGUGUCUGCAGUGUGAACUAUAAGUUGACAUACAUGGAUGCAAAUCUGGAAGCCUUAUACUUAUGAUACCAGUAUCUCAAUAAACGUUUAUGCAGUGA
This is a long non-coding RNA of Lingula anatina, 392 nucleotides long. RefSeq lists it as uncharacterized. NCBI's taxonomy places the organism in Eukaryota, Metazoa, Brachiopoda, Lingulata, Lingulida, Lingulidae. The record is from RefSeq and is a predicted model, not a curated record.